Molecule: long non-coding RNA, 3143 nt
Filed under: Homo sapiens (human)
Lineage: Eukaryota; Metazoa; Chordata; Mammalia; Primates; Hominidae
Description: long non-coding RNA NONHSAT207130.1
Source: RNAcentral
UAGCCUGUGUCUGAGGCGCGCGGAGCUGGAGCGCCCAGGGCAUGUCCGCCGAUCCCAAGGAGGCAAUCUGUCAGGCGCCGCCCGGGCGGCAGUAUGCCUGAGGGGGUCCUCCGUGUUCGCGCCUCCCGCCGCCUGCACUGAAAGGUCUGUACCUGAGCCUGGAUACUUGAACAGAGGCAGACACUGCGGCUCAAAACCCCAAGGGUAGGUACCUAUUGUGCGGAGUCUCGGAACGCCUGCCUGGAAGAAGAGUUCCGGCGGCUCCCCGAACGCUUGGAGAAAGCGCUUGGAUGCAGUUGCAGGGAUAUCCUAGCUCUGAGACAAAAAUUGGGAACCUCAGCAUGAGUUUGUCACCUGAAUGAAAUAAAAAAAAUCACGUUGAAGGCUGGUGCAGUAACAUGUGCCUGUAGUCCCAGCUACUCUGGAGGCUGAGUCAGGAGGAUCACUUGAGACCAGAAGUUCAGGAAUUCAAGACUGGCUUGAGCAACAUAGCAAGACUUCAUUUCAAAACAAACAGAAAAAAGCCACCACCUUCAGUAUUUCUUGCCAAAGCAAAGGAGCCAUUUGUUCUUUACGAUGGUCAGGAAAGGAAGCAUCAAGGUCAUCAAAUGAAAAAUUUUCAGCAUUUCAGCCUCUCUGCUCAGGGAAAUAUCUGAAUCUAGAAUAUCACAACAUGAGCCAAAACCGCCCCAUUUCUCAUGCCACAUGUCACUCUUAACACAAGGUUACUCAACCUCGAGCAUGGUUGGCAUUUGGGGCUGAAUAAUUCUUUUUUGUAGGGGGCUGUCCUGGGCAUUGUAGGAUGCUCAUGAGCUACCUCAGUCUCUACCACCCACUAGAUGCCAGUAGCAUUGACCCCUGAUCUCUCUACCCAAGUUGUGACAACUAAAACCAUCUCUGGAUAAUGGAGGAACCUUAAAUGCAUAUUGCUAAGGAAAAGCCAAUCUGAAAGGAUUACAUAUUGUAUGAGUCCAACUAUAUGGUAAUCUGGAAAAGGCAAAACCAUGGAGACAGUGAAAAGGUAGUGGUUACCAGUGGUCCAUGGGAAGGGUUGGAUGAAUAGGUGGAGCACAGAGGAUUUUUAAGGCAGUGAAACUAUUCUGAAUGAUACUGUAAUGGUGGAUACAUGUCAUACCUUUGUCAAAACCAAUAAAAUAUAACAACCAAUAAAACUGCACAAAGAGUGAACCCUAAUGUAAACUAUGGACUUAAUAAUGUAUCAAUAUUGGCUCACCAAUUUUAACAAAUGUACCACACUAAUGCAAGAUGUUACUAAUAGUGGAAACUGGAGGGAAGAGGGCUUGAGGGGACAUACGGGAACUCUCUGUAAUUCCUGUUCAGUUUUUCUGUAACUGUUAAACUGUCCAAAAAAAGUCUGUUUUUAUAAAUGGAGGCAUGGUUUUAUAUGGACUAAAAUACUAUGAUUGCCUUUUUAUUUUACACAUGGUGAAAUUAGAGCAGGACAUAUUUUAAACUCAAAAUUCACAAAAUUAAUUUAUGAAAAUGUUUACCCAGAUCAAGAAUAUUAAAGAAACUUAGAUUAAUAUUGUUACCUUGAAUUUAUUUUACUGAGUAAUCCUCUAAGACUCCUCUACACAUUAUUAAUCUAGAAGGAUUUUUAAAGUCUUUAUGACAAUUAAUUAUUGGUCUACAGUCAAAUUGCGUAUCCCCAUUAACUAGAGUUAUAUUUUUCCAUUUUCUGAUCCAAAAACUUUAGGAACAGGAAAUGUUUAUUUUAGAAAACAAGAACACUUCUUAAGCAUUUGCUGUUAACAGUUAUUUUCACAUGUGCUUGUACUUAUUUUACACUUGUCAGAACAUAGUAUUUACCUUUGAACCAAGGUUUUAUAAUAAGCAAGCACUUUUUUUAUUUAGAAGUCACAUUUUCCAAGUAGAAAAAUCAUUAAAAAUUCAGUCCUCUGAAGGCUAAUUUCUUUAAAUCAUUUAACCUAAUUGUUUAAGGUAUAGAUUGGAAUUUUUCUCAGCACUCUCUUGAAAACAGGUGACAGUGGAACCCUGUUAGGUUCACAAAUCCUAGACUUUGAUUAUAUAGCCCAGGCUCAAAUUUUUCUCGAAUGUUACGAACAUUCAAAGCAUUAGGAGUCUUGGUUUCAUUUCUUAAUUUUUUUUCUUCUGGGUAUAUUUGAGACUCAUCUUGGAUUCAAAUAAAUUAAUAAUAGUCUCAUGAAACCGAUAAAAAUGGGAGCUCCAUUGAACAUGAGAGACAUUGAUUCGUAGUUUCUAACAUCCUCCAAAUGAGGAGCCCAUCCCUAAUUUAGAUGCUUCUUUCAAAGGAGGCUCCUUUCCUUCGUUAUCCAUAAUAUAGUCACACCAGUCCUGAAAAAACAUGGAACAGACUCCAGAUCUUUAUAUUUCAUACUCUAAAGUCGUACAAGCCAAUCUGCAUUUCCUCUAGUGGAAACUGUAUAGCUGGUCAUCUUUCCAGGACCCUUUUAUCAAGAAACAAUGCAGCUUCUACAUUUGUGCUGCUUCUACACCAAAACAGCUGGAAUGUAUAUAGUAUGGUUCUGGAUGCUCUUGUAUACCUCACUCUUCAUUUCUCACCUAACCCAUGUGCUAUGAUUUGAAUGUUUCUCCCCUGCAAAACUCAUGUUGAAAUGUAAUUGCCAUGAUAACAGUAUUAAUAGGUGGAAUAUUUAAGAGGUGAUUAGGGUGGGAUUGGUGAUGUUAUAAAAGGGUAAGUUCAGCCCCUUCUUGCUCUCUCUGUCACCCUUCCACCUUCCUCUGUGUGAUGAUGCAACAAAAAAGCCCUUCCCAGAUGCCAGCAUCUUGAUUUUGGACUUCUCAGCCUACAGAACUAUAAGCCAAUAAAUUUCUGUUAUUUGUUAUUAGUCUGUGAUAUUCUGUUACAGUAGCACAAAAUGGACUAUGACACCAUGUGUUUACACAGAAAGAAAAAAAUAUCAUACGGUAAUUGCUCCUAAAUAUGCAGAGAAUAUGUUCUGAUAUCCUUAGUGGAUGCCUGAAACUGCAGAUAGUACCAAACCUUAUAUAUACUAUGUUUUUUUUCCCAUACAUAUGCAUGUUAAAGUUUAUAAGUUAGGCAGAGUAAGAUAUGAACAAUAACUAAUAAUGAAAUAGAAACGUAACGAUGUGCUGUAAUAAAAGUUAUGUGACUGACG